Molecule: long non-coding RNA, 343 nt
Filed under: Coturnix japonica (Japanese quail)
Lineage: Eukaryota; Metazoa; Chordata; Aves; Galliformes; Phasianidae
Description: lncRNA (ENSCJPG00005014796.1)
Source: RNAcentral
GAAACACAGCCUUACAGGACUGGGCAUGCAAGUCACACAGGCCCUCUCCUUUGACUUACAGCUAUUCUGCGAACUUGUUGGAUGAUAUCUUUCACCAUUCCCUUCCAUUUACGAAGAGCUCCCUGGACCCUCAGAAUACAGGCAGGUCAUUCAGGAGCAACCCGCACCCAAUCCAUCCGAGCUCCAUACCCAGCAGGGCAAGGGAAGCCAGACUCCAGCACCAACCUUUGCUCAGAGAUACUAGAACAGACAGGAGAUGGGCAAUGCAUACAAAAAACCUAUCCACAGAUUUGUGUAAAAUAAUUACAUAAAAUAAAUAAAUAAAUAAAUAAAUAAAUCUACA